UAACCUUACUGGAAUUUAGAUGGUGCUUCACCCUAAUGCUGAGUAGCACGGUAGCCAUAUUCUCCUCCUCUGUGAAACCAGCAAUUUUGUAGAGGUUAGACACAAUCCUGUUUGCUUUGGUGUCUUAUUUUUAAAAAGGGACUCUUGAGAGGUAGUCCUGAAAGUCAGACCCUCUGAAAAACUUACUCAACAUUUGUCCCCACCGUUUUCUUUUCUGUAACCUUCGCAUAAGUUAAAAAAGUGGAGGAAACAACUUUGAACUGGUGAUGUGGGGUGGGGAGACAGAUGGUGAGGGAAGAGACUGAUGCACACCCAAAGUUCUGAAGCAUUUAGCGUGGGACUGUUGGCGAAGGAGGUCACUUUUGGAAUAGGCAGUCUUGACAGUGUCUUUUUACAUCCUCAGCAUGCCACCAAUAACCAGAAAGUGACCGUGUCUUUGAUAAAGGUAUUUCAAGUGUCAAAAUACCCAACAUUUUGAUGACGGGACCAAAUAGCAGUCACCUGUCCUAGGGCUAGUAUUGGAGCAGGCCCAGGUGGAGAAGCCUUCUCUCAGGUUUUGUUGUGAUUUUUUUAAGUUACAAUUUUAACUAAAGGCAAAAUCAGCCUGAGCAAUAUCGCAUGACUUGCUGUCAAGCAGGAUUGGACCAGUGUAGUUAUUUUAAAUAUAGCCUUGAGGAGGGGGUAGAUGCAUUUCAUUUAUUAUUGUUUGCACGGUGAUAGCUCCCUCUUCUAAGUGAGUAUCACUGAGUUUUUGCCCUCAGGUCUCUUAAUUUCAUUCCACAGCUCAAGACCCGCACUACUGGAAACAAGAACUGGAGAAACCUUGAACUGACUGGUAGCCAUGAUCUCCUGCCGUGUGCCUAAUGGUCAUAUACAGGGUUAAUUCUGAUCAUACAUUUGACAUUGUUACCAGAGUGUUAUUGCUUAAGUGGCAUAGUGGUUUUUUGGUUUGGUGGGGUUUUUUUAACCCAUCUCUUUAAAUACAAUCUGGGCAUAUAAUGGGAAAGAAGACC
Molecule: long non-coding RNA, 1013 nt
Filed under: Otus sunia (Oriental scops-owl)
Lineage: Eukaryota; Metazoa; Chordata; Aves; Strigiformes; Strigidae
Description: lncRNA (ENSOSUG00000001886.1)
Source: RNAcentral